UUUUUUUUUUUUUUUUUUUCAUUCACGAGGCAAGAUGAAACUCUUAUCCUUAAUAGUGCUUUGACACCUCAAAGCAGUAUCUGAUGUGAAGCAAAAAUUUGCGUUUUGCAUUUUUUCAAGCAAGUGGGAAAUAAAUCAUUUGCUUGACCCUGUUCUUCUUCCUAGUUAACCUGGAGAUUAUGUUAAAUAUUGUUGUGAAAGGAGUGUGAAUUGGAAUGUUUCACCUAUUUAAUUUAAUAGGAACACCUAUUUAAUAUUAUUGACUGUAAAAUUUUGAAGCCUGGCAACCACUGAAAUUUGGGCAUCACAGUAGAAUCAGUCAUGACCCCUGGGUGUGACUCUGUCAUUUAUAAGAGUGUUGCUGUGUUUGACUUGUGUGUACCAGCAAUCAAGCUGAUAGAGUUGAAACAGUAUUGCUAUGACAUAAUAGCAGGGGCUUUUUAUAAUAUUGUCCCCAAAUCAUGACAAUUGUGUUGCAUUUCAGAUUUAUACCUUUUAAGGAUGCACUUCUCUGCAUGCCCCAUCCCUAUCCCUGGUGCCCAAAGCCAUGUUUGUUCAAGGAGCCUGGUCCCCAGUUUCAGUGGAGUAGAUGAGGUUGAACAGUAGUCCCAAGAUGGCAAGGUCUCCUUCUAGGAACUGGUAUUGAAAGGGAAGAGGAAGAAGGAGAGAAUGAAUGGGAGAGAGCAAAACUGAGAGAUCCUAUUUCUCUGGGUAGUAGAUUUGGGUGCUUGGGCUGAAAUCAAGAUGUUGGCCUGGUUGAUUCCUUCUGAGGGCUGUGAGGGAAGGAUCUGUUCCAGGCCUCUGUCCUUGGUGUGUAGAUGGUCGUCUUCUCCCUGCGUGUUUUUACAGUGUCUUCCCUCUAUGCAUCUGUCUCUGUGUCCAAAUUUCCCCAUUCAAUAAGGACCGGUCAUACUGAAUUAGGACUUACUCUAAUGACCUUAUUUUAACUGGAUCACCUCUGUAAAGACCCUAUCUCCAGAUAUGGUAUUAGGGUGUAGGACUCCACCAUCUUUUUUCAGAGGACACAAUUCACCACCUAAGAGGUGCUCUAAGCCACUGCCCUGCUGUAUGGACUGGGAAGUACAGGAAGGUGAUUUGCAGAGACAAAGAGUAAGACACAAACGACAUGGGAAGAAACGACUUCACAGAUUAUUGACUCUUUCCCAUUUUUCCUGGAGAUGAGUUGUAUUCCUAACCUUGGAUUCAGUGAGCUACCACUGUGGGCUUCCAACAUGUUCCCAUUGCUUAAAUGUAGUUCCUGUAUGUUUAGCUAAAAAAUGCUAACUAAUAUGAUAACCAAAUUGGGACAGACAUUGUAGUAUGACACUCUAAGGAUCUGGGUGUUACCUGUGGGUCUUGUGAAGCCAUCGCUGGUUAGAUGAACUGGAAAAGGGAGGCAGAAAGAACUCUUAGAAGCCUAUUCUCAUGGAAUUAUGAGGUGAGGGAGAGUAAGGAGGAAUGGAACCUGUAGAUUUUGGUUCUUUUUAGAGUACCUGUUACUGUACAAGCCCUUUCAUUUAACUGGGGCCCACAUUAAGGACAUGGAUUAAAGAGAUUCAAAGAGGGAGAGGGAGGAACCCAUGCUGACUUGGAACUUUCUGCUUUAGGCGGUGGGGUUGAUAGGUUUGGUGUUAACUUGACAGAGACUGUGUUUGAGGAAAGACAGA
Macaca fascicularis (crab-eating macaque) is the source of this 1667-nucleotide long non-coding RNA. Lineage: Eukaryota; Metazoa; Chordata; Mammalia; Primates; Cercopithecidae. The record is from Ensembl.